UCCCCUCAGGCUAGGUCUCUGGAGCUAUGAACAAGUAGGAGGGGACGAAAAUCAUGCAUCGUAGUGGGCGCUAGAGUGGAGGGGUGACUGUGGAUGUUGACUGUCUCUCUUCAAGUGGGCCUGAUGUAGAUAGGAUGGGAGAGGGAGACAGGGAUGAGGGCAAGAUUACCUGCACCAAUUGAAUUUGGUGUAGUGAUGGCCCUUGCUUCACUCAUUUCCUGCGCUUGCAGAGGAAUUGUCCAGGAGCAGAAGCUGAAGGAGAAAAUGGCAGAUGCGGACCUGAGGAGCCUGGACAUCCUUCUAAGCAGACAUGAAUGGUCCUCAGAUUUCUGCCUCCCGCACAACUGGCUGUGAGUAAGCGGUCAGUGCUUGGAAUCCCUCAUCUGUACUGGCUCCGGUUUUGUUCAGAGGCUCUGAAUUUCCUCAUUGGACACGGUGCUCUGUGGGAUUCAGACGAGGCAAAGGCACAAGUCUCCUGUGCAGAUGCUGGGUUUAGUACCAAGUGGAGAGUCAGAGUCCACUCCGCACAUGCCAUGGAAAGGAAGGCUCUGCUGUGGUUAUGAGGGAGACAAGGUCCCUAUUUUCAGGGGCUUCUCAGUCCUCUGGCCAGUACCGGUGUGUCCUCUGCAGCGGAAGGUUGGAUCCAAGAGGAUGACUCCAGCUGCACUUCCAGAGGAAUUGUCC
Mauremys mutica (yellowpond turtle) is the source of this 684-nucleotide long non-coding RNA. RefSeq lists it as uncharacterized. The transcript is spliced from 3 exons. The record is from RefSeq and is a predicted model, not a curated record. Lineage: Eukaryota; Metazoa; Chordata; Testudines; Geoemydidae.